This 31-nucleotide non-coding RNA is filed under the name Mus musculus (house mouse). The record is from RNAcentral. Lineage: Eukaryota; Metazoa; Chordata; Mammalia; Rodentia; Muridae.
CCACACAGUUUACUAAGGAACCAUUUGUGGA